GUGAGAUAUGGUAUUAUCUAAAACAGCAAAGGCUGAGGAUACAUCAUCUGGCCAGGUGACCACAUGGAAGAGAAGGCAAGUUCAGGAGUCAACAGGCAGUGAGACAGGAGGAGACUCCUGGUCAGCUUGUGGAGGUUUCCCGAAAUCUGUUUUUUCAAGUCAACUUUUGCAUGAUUGCUGAUUUCACUUGUCAAUUGUUUUCCAUUAUGCGGCAUUGUGAUAACAAUUUUAUUUCCAACUUACUUCAACUUUAUUAUCCAAAUUCCUCUUGCUAGAGAGCGUUGCAUUGGGAUGAUUGAGUCCUUGCCUAGCUCUUAAUGAAGUGAUAUUUUGUUUUCCCAUUGGCAGUUGUUCUUUGUGUGUAUAGAUUUCUUGGUUAGAAACUUCUAGGUUAUGGAAGAGGAGAAAGGGAAGGAACAGGAGCGGGUAGGGGAGAAAGAGGAGGAGGUAGGAGCAGGAAGAGCAAAGGGAGAAGAAGGAAGGGGAGGGAAGACAGGAUACUCAUUCCCCAGCCCAGGAAAGGCAGAUGCUUGAGAGCCUGAUGUCUGUGGGUGGUUGUGGGGAAGACUGGUAAAACUUCCUGGCUUCAUAUUUUUUUAGUUUCAUUUUCAAAAGAAGGAAAAAUUGCCCAAAUUCGAUUUAAUUCUACAAUUAUGGGGCACUCACUACAUGCAAGAAACUGUUCUAGAAGUUGGGAGUAGGUUGGACAUAGAUAGGAAAGAGAUAAAAAAGGUUCCCUCUAUUUAGUUUCUUAAGGAACUAAAGUACAAAA
This 772-nucleotide long non-coding RNA is filed under the name Homo sapiens (human). RNAcentral describes it as "non-protein coding lnc-LONRF1-7:1". The record is from RNAcentral. Lineage: Eukaryota; Metazoa; Chordata; Mammalia; Primates; Hominidae.